UAGCCCAUCGGGGCCACGGAUACCUGCUAUUUUUUU
RNAcentral lists this non-coding RNA (36 nucleotides) under Pteropus alecto (black flying fox). RNAcentral's name for it is "XIST RNA A repeat". It matches the Rfam family "XIST RNA A repeat". RNAcentral also lists the same sequence under 1 other name. Lineage: Eukaryota; Metazoa; Chordata; Mammalia; Chiroptera; Pteropodidae. The record is from Rfam by way of RNAcentral.